GGACCAGGGCGGUCCGGUCUGCCGGGAUGGUGUGCACUGGCCGCCCUGUCCUUCACUUACAUCUGCCGGCAUGCUGGCCUCUGCUCUUAACUGAGUGGAGGCUUUCAGCUCCGGCUCGUUUACUUUGAGAAAAUUAGAGUGUUUAAAGCAGGCGUUGCCAAAAACAAGUGCCUUGAAUACUACAGCAUGGAAUAAUGGAAUAGGACUUCGUGCCUCAUUUUGUUGGUUUCUAGGAAGCGAAGUA
This 244-nucleotide ribosomal RNA is filed under the name uncultured fungus. Its description in RNAcentral is "partial small subunit ribosomal RNA". The stretch from base 110 to 244 matches the Rfam family "Eukaryotic small subunit ribosomal RNA", at positions 742 to 864 of the family's 1831-position model. The record is from RNAcentral. Lineage: Eukaryota; Fungi.